GAACGCUGGCGGCGUGCCUAAUACAUGCAAGUCGAACGGUCUUUCUAUGGAAGCUUGCUUCCACUGAGAAGAUAGUGGCGAACGGGUGAGUAACACGUGGGUAACCUGCCCAUAAGAGGGGGGAUAACAUCCGGAAACGGGUGCUAAUACCGCAUAGUUUUCUUGAUCGCAUGAUUGAGAAAGGAAAGACGGCCUUUGUGCUGUCGCUUAUGGAUGGACCCGCGGCGUAUUAGUUAGUUGGUGAGGUAACGGCUCACCAAGACGAUGAUACGUAGCCGACCUGAGAGGGUGAUCGGCCACAUUGGGACUGAGACACGGCCCAAACUCCUACGGGAGGCAGCAGUAGGGAAUCUUCCGCAAUGGACGAAAGUCUGACGGAGCAACGCCGCGUGAGUGAAGAAAAGGGUUUUCGGAUCGUAAAACUCUGUUGUCAGAGAAGAACAAGUUGGAGAGUAACUGCUCCAGCCUUGACGGUAUCUGACCAGAAAGCCACGGCUAACUACGUGCCAGCCGCAGC
Molecule: ribosomal RNA, 517 nt
Filed under: uncultured bacterium
Lineage: Bacteria
Description: bacterial SSU rRNA
Rfam family: Bacterial small subunit ribosomal RNA
Source: RNAcentral